CCUACGGGGGGCUGCAGUAGGGAAUAUUGGACAAUGGGCGAAAGCCUGAUCCAGCAAUGCCGCGUGAGUGAUGAAGGCCUUAGGGUUGUAAAGCUCUUUUACCCGGGAUGAUAAUGACAGUACCGGGAGAAUAAGCUCCGGCUAACUCCGUGCCAGCAGCCGCGGUAAUACGGAGGGAGCUAGCGUUGUUCGGAAUUACUGGGCGUAAAGCGCACGUAGGCGGCUAUUCAAGUCAGAGGUGAAAGCCCGGGGCUCAACCCCGGAACUGCCUUUGAAACUAGAUAGCUUGAAUCCAGGAGAGGUGAGUGGAAUUCCGAGUGUAGAGGUGAAAUUCGUAGAUAUUCGGAAGAACACCAGUGGCGAAGGCGGCUCACUGGACUGGUAUUGACGCUGAGGUGCGAAAGCGUGGGGAGCAAACAGGAUUAGAUACCCCAGUAGUC
Molecule: ribosomal RNA, 440 nt
Filed under: uncultured bacterium
Lineage: Bacteria
Description: bacterial SSU rRNA
Rfam family: Bacterial small subunit ribosomal RNA
Source: RNAcentral